UGGGGAAUAUUGCACAAUGGGCGCAAGCCUGAUGCAGCCAUGCCGCGUGUGUGAAGAAGGCCUUCGGGUUGUAAAGCACUUUCAGCGGGGAGGAAGGCGAUAAGGUUAAUAACCUCAUCGAUUGACGUUACCCGCAGAAGAAGCACCGGCUAACUCCGUGCCAGCAGCCGCGGUAAUACGGAGGGUGCAAGCGUUAAUCGGAAUUACUGGGCGUAAAGCGCACGCAGGCGGUUUGUUAAGUCAGAUGUGAAAUCCCCGGGCUCAACCUGGGAACUGCAUCUGAUACUGGCAAGCUUGAGUAUGGUAGAGGGGGGUAGAAUUCCAGGUGUAGCGGUGAAAUGCGUAGAGAUGUGGAGGAAUACCGGUGGCGAAGGCGGCCCCCUGGACAAAGACUGACGCUCAGGUGCGAAAGCGUGGGGAGCAAACAGG
This 429-nucleotide ribosomal RNA is filed under the name Chloroflexota bacterium. Its description in RNAcentral is "Chloroflexi bacterium partial 16S ribosomal RNA". It matches the Rfam family "Bacterial small subunit ribosomal RNA", at positions 355 to 776 of the family's 1533-position model. The record is from RNAcentral. Lineage: Bacteria; Bacillati; Chloroflexota.